This 978-nucleotide ribosomal RNA is filed under the name Triticum aestivum (bread wheat). RNAcentral describes it as "partial small subunit ribosomal RNA". Lineage: Eukaryota; Viridiplantae; Streptophyta; Magnoliopsida; Poales; Poaceae. The record is from RNAcentral.
CUAUUUUGGAACAUUAGAGGCCUGAAUGGGUCCAUCAAAUGUAAUAAAUUGAAAGAGCUCAUUAUAGCUCAUAAGCCUGAUUUUAUUAGUAUUUCUGAGUCUAAGAAAGAAGACUUUACCCCUCUUCAAUUAGAAGCUUUUGACAUUAGAUCCUGUUAUGCUUGGAAAUGGCUUCCUGCUAAUAACACUGCUGGAGGCAUCCUAGUAGGAAUUAGGGGAGAUCUCUUUGACAUCGUUUGCUGUGAUAUACACACUUACAGUGUUUCUUGCUUACUCCAAAACAAGCAAGAUGGGUCUUCCUGGAGACUGAUCUCCAUUUAUGGUCCUGCUUAUGAACAGUACAAACUAGAUUUCAUUAAUGAAUUGCACAACUUGCUUACUGGGUGGACUGGUCCAACUCUGGUAGGUGGGGAUUUUAAUUUGAUUAGGGAGGCCAGUGAGAAAAACACUGGUCUGAUUAACCAGCACUGGGCAGACUUGUUCAAUGACUGGAUUAAUAGAUUUGGUCUUCUUGAGCUGAAGAUUAAUGGCAGGAAAUACACCUGGGGCAAUAACCAAGACUCUUUGGUUAUGGCCACUAUAGAUAGGGUUUUCAUGUCCACUAAUUGGGCAACAUCUUUCCCUAAUGUUCAGCUCAGAGCUCUUCCUAGGGUUGGAAGUGAUCACACCCCUCUGGUAUUGAACACUUGUGCUUUCUCCCCCCCCCCUAAAGAGAAAGAUUUUAGAUUUGAGAAAUGGUUUCUUGAAGUAGAUGACUUUAGGGAAGUAGUUCAUAAAGCCUCGAGCACUAAAUGUUGCUUUACCAAAGCUAUUGAUAUUUGGCAGUUUAAUAUUAGAAAUACCAGGAAAGCUAUUAAAGGCUGGUGUGCUAAUUUUGAGGCAGAGCAAAAAAAAGGCAAAAACAUGCCUUGGUGGCUAAAUAUAACUGCCUUGAUAUUAUUGCUGAGUCUCAACCUCUCUCACCUAACUCUAAGAUGA